Medicago truncatula (barrel medic) is the source of this 915-nucleotide RNA transcript. It is a transcript of the gene named NAP1-related protein 1, with no coding region annotated. The record is from RefSeq and is a predicted model, not a curated record. NCBI's taxonomy places the organism in Eukaryota, Viridiplantae, Streptophyta, Magnoliopsida, Fabales, Fabaceae. The transcript has 5 exons.
UUAUUUACUAACUUGCUCCACUCUCUCUGAAAACAUCUUCUCUCACAGUUUCUCGCCUUGUUCCUAUCCAUCCUCCUAAUUGUAAAAUCUCGCAUCAACCACGCUCCAUAUUAGCUUGCUCAGUCUUGAAAGACAGACUCGCAUGCAUCCAAACAAUGGCCAAAAAUUUGAAGAGAAUCCAAGAGGAAAUCGAAAAGAUGUAUAAGGACGAGAGGACUGAAGUUCUGGGAAAAGAGCUGUAUGAUAAGCGCGAGAUAUUUGAUGAGUACCUCAAUUCUAUUGAGGUUGAAGACAAUCAAGAUGCCAAAUCAGGCUAUUCAAUCACCUUUAACUUUGAUGAAAAUCCAUAUUUUGAUAAUCCAAGCCUUGCAAAGUCUCUUACCUUCCAUGAAGGAAAACUUAAAGAGACUAAGGCUACAACUAUACAAUGGAAAAAGGGUAAAAGUAUGCCUGAUGAAGUUCUUGAGAGCGACGAUGACAAUGAAGUUUGUCCCGAGAAGGAUGAUGAGCUCAUGUAUGAGGUGAAAUUGACUGUUUGGAGUUUCUUUAAUUGGUUUCAUACCAGUAAGGAGCAAAAUGAAAUGAGGUUUCCUGAUCAGGUUGCAGAUCUUAUUAAAGAACAAACUUUUGAUUGAUCCGUUCAAGUAUUUACAUAUUGAACUUGUGGAAACUGAUGAGGAUGGAGAAUGUCAAGUUGUGUAAAGUAAAAGAACAAGGAAUCUGGGAGAAGAAGAUACGAAGUAGAAAGAUCGGUAGCUGAGGUCUUUUAGUUGAAGAUAAAAGGAGUUAUUUAAUUUGUAGUUUAUUUUAGCUUUUACUUAUGCUUUUUAAGUGUUUAAUCUUCGGAUGAAGACCAUACACAACAUAUAAACAUCAAUCAUCAGCAUCAUGCUAAAGAAUGAAAGAUCCACCCUA